UGAGGAAUAUUGGUCAAUGGGGCGAGAGCCUGAACCAGCCAAGUAGCGUGCAGGACGACGGCCCUAUGGGUUGUAAACUGCUUUUAUACGGGAAUAAAGUGAUGCCUGCGGGCGUUAUUGCAUGUACCGUACGAAUAAGGACCGGCUAAUUCCGUGCCAGCAGCCGCGGUAAUACGGAAGGUCCGGGCGUUAUCCGGAUUUAUUGGGUUUAAAGGGAGCGUAGGCUGUCCUUUAAGCGUGUUGUGAAAUGUAGGCGCUCAACGCCUGCACUGCAGCGCGAACUGAAGGACUUGAGUGUGU
This 300-nucleotide ribosomal RNA is filed under the name uncultured Prevotella sp. RNAcentral's name for it is "bacterial SSU rRNA". It matches the Rfam family "Bacterial small subunit ribosomal RNA", at positions 355 to 651 of the family's 1533-position model. Lineage: Bacteria; Pseudomonadati; Bacteroidota; Bacteroidia; Bacteroidales; Prevotellaceae. The record is from RNAcentral.